GACGAACGCUGGCGGCGUGCCUAAUACAUGCAAGUAGAACGCUGAAGCGAGGAGCUUACUCUUCUUGGAUGAGUUGCGAACGGGUGAGUAACGCGUAGGUAACCUGCCUUGUAGCGGGGGAUAACUAUUGGAAACGAUAGCUAAUACCGCAUAACAAUGGAUGACACAUGUCAUUUAUUUGAAAGGGGCAAUUGCUCCACUACAAGAUGGACCUGCGUUGUAUUAGCUAGUAGGUGAGGUAAUGGCUCACCUAGGCGACGAUACAUAGCCGACCUGAGAGGGUGGUCGGCCACCCCUGGACUGGGACACGGCCCAGACCCCUACGGGAAGCAGCCGUAGGGGAUCUUCGGCAAUGGGGGCAACCCUGACCGAGCAACGCCGCGUGAGGGAAGAAGGGUUUCGGAUCGGAAAGCUCUGUUGUAAGUCAAGAACGGGUGUGAGAGUGGAAAGUUCACACUGUGACGGUAGCUUACCAGAAAGGGACGGCUAACUACGUG
This 497-nucleotide ribosomal RNA is filed under the name uncultured bacterium. RNAcentral describes it as "partial 16S ribosomal RNA". It matches the Rfam family "Bacterial small subunit ribosomal RNA", at positions 28 to 507 of the family's 1533-position model. The record is from RNAcentral.